ACCCCUGUAGCUCAGUUCGGACAGAGCAAGGGAUUCCUAAUCCCUGAGCCGCCGGUUCGAGUCCGGCCAGGGGUGCCA
RNAcentral lists this transfer RNA (78 nucleotides) under bacterium. Its description in RNAcentral is "tRNA-Arg". It matches the Rfam family "tRNA". From Rfam's summary of the family: Transfer RNA (tRNA) molecules are approximately 80 nucleotides in length. Their secondary structure includes four short double-helical elements and three loops (D, anti-codon, and T loops). Further hydrogen bonds mediate the characteristic L-shaped molecular structure. tRNAs have two regions of fundamental functional importance: the anti-codon, which is responsible for specific mRNA codon recognition, and the 3' end, to which the tRNAs corresponding amino acid is attached (by aminoacyl-tRNA synthetases). tRNAs cope with the degeneracy of the genetic code in two manners: having more than one tRNA (with a specific anti-codon) for a particular amino acid; and 'wobble' base-pairing, i.e. permitting non-standard base-pairing at the 3rd anti-codon position. The record is from RNAcentral.